GACGAACGCUGGCGGCGUGCCUAAUACAUGCAAGUCGAACGACGAGACUUUAACUGAUGCUUGCAUCGACCAAAGGAUCGGAGUGGCGAACGGGUGAGUAACACGUGGGUAACCUGCCUAUCAGAGGGGGAUAACACUUGGAAACAGGUGCUAAUACCGCAUAACAAUCAUAACCGCAUGGUUAUGAUUUGAAAGGCGCUUCUGGUGUCACUGAUAGAUGGACCCGCGGUGCAUUAGCUAGUCGGUGGGGUAACGGCCUACCGAGGCGAUGAUGCAUAGCCGACCUGAGAGGGUGAUCGGCCACAUUGGGACUGAGACACGGCCCAAACUCCUACGGGAGGCAGCAGUAGGGAAUCUUCCACAAUGGACGAAAGUCUGAUGGAGCAACGCCGCGUGAGUGAAGAAGGGUUUCGGCUCGUAAAACUCUGUUGUUAAAGAAGAACAGGUGUAAGAGUAACUGUUUACACCGUGACGGUAUUUAACCAGAAAGCCACGGCUAACUACGUGCCAGCAGCCGCA
RNAcentral lists this ribosomal RNA (519 nucleotides) under uncultured bacterium. RNAcentral describes it as "bacterial SSU rRNA". It matches the Rfam family "Bacterial small subunit ribosomal RNA", at positions 28 to 519 of the family's 1533-position model. The record is from RNAcentral.